Molecule: ribosomal RNA, 399 nt
Filed under: uncultured bacterium
Lineage: Bacteria
Description: bacterial SSU rRNA
Rfam family: Bacterial small subunit ribosomal RNA
Source: RNAcentral
GGGGAAUAUUGCACAAUGGAGGGAACUCUGAUGCAGCGACGCCGCGUGAACGAUGAAGGCUUUCGGGUCGUAAAGUUCUGUCCUAUGGGACGAUAAUGACGGUACCAUAGGAGGAAGCCCCGGCUAACUACGUGCCAGCAGCCGCGGUAAUACGUAGGGGGCGAGCGUUGUCCGGAAUUAUUGGGCGUAAAGGGUACGCAGGCGGCCAUGUAAGUCAGAUGUGAAAGGUCACGGCUCAACCGUGGUAAGCAUUUGAAACUGUGUGGCUUGAGUUAAGGAGAGGAAAGUGGAAUUCCUGGUGUAGCGGUGAGAUGCGUAGAUAUCAGGAGGAAUACCAGUGGCGAAGGCGACUUUCUGGACUUAUACUGACGCUGAGGUACGAAAGCGUGGGGAGCAAAC